This 253-nucleotide ribosomal RNA is filed under the name uncultured bacterium. Its description in RNAcentral is "partial 16S ribosomal RNA". It matches the Rfam family "Bacterial small subunit ribosomal RNA", at positions 525 to 776 of the family's 1533-position model. The record is from RNAcentral.
GGCGAAGGGGCUAGCGUUGUUCGGAAUUACUGGGCGUAAAGCGUGUGUAGGUGGUUGUCAUAGUCAGGCGUGAAAGCCUUGAGCUCAACUCAAGAAAUGCGCUUGAUACUGGGCAGCUAGAGGACCGGAGAGGAUAGUGGAAUUCCCAGUGUAGUGGUGAAAUACGUAGAGAUUGGGAAGAACACCAGUGGCGAAGGCGGCUAUCUGGACGGUUUCUGACACUAAGACACGGAAAGCGUGGGGAGCAAACAGG